This is a non-coding RNA of Microcebus murinus (gray mouse lemur), 1830 nucleotides long. NCBI's taxonomy places the organism in Eukaryota, Metazoa, Chordata, Mammalia, Primates, Cheirogaleidae. The record is from RefSeq and is a predicted model, not a curated record.
CCUGCCUCAGCCUCUCAAAGUGCUGGUGCUGGGAUUACAGGCCUGAGCCACCCCACUGGCCAGAUUCUUCCUAUUGAAUGAAUGGAGAAACUGAGGCCUGGGAAGGGAGUACCUAGCACAGUGGAGGUGAAGAGGGGAUAAAGAACAUUCACAGAGCAGACUCCAUGGAGCGACAUCAUGUUUGUGAAGUUGCCCGUCACCCUGAGGUACAGAGGGAAGGUGGACUUCCAGAGCCUCUCGGAGCCUCCCGAAUUGCACCUGGCCUGGAGAAGAGCUCUAGGGAUUCACUGUCAGCAAAUCCUAUGGGCUCUAACUUCAAAAUAGUGACCACCUUCAUUGCUAUGACCUGGGUCCAAGCCACCAUCGCCUCUCACUUGAGUCACUGCAGCAGGAGUCAUCGUUACCUCCCCGCCCCCACCUCUGCUCCCAUGGUCUGUUCUCAACACAGCAGCAAGAAGGAUCCUGCUCAACUGCAAGCUUACAUCACUCCUCUGGCCUCCCAGCUCAUAGUAAAAGCCCUUAUGAGGGCCCGAGAAGCCCUUUUGGAUCUUCCCCUCCUCCUGCUCCCACGUCACCCCACCCCCCUCACUCCACUGCAGCCACACUGGGUCCUUGCCCGCCUCCCACCUGCCAGCCCGGCUCCCAUCCCAGGGCAUAUGCGACUGCUCUUCCUUCUGACACCUAGGAAGCUCAUCCCACUACCUCCUCCUGUAGGUGCCAAAGCGUCACCCUCCCUGACCACCGCCCCCACUCAGCACUCCCUCCCACUUUCCCUGUCUUAUUUUUCUUCACAGUGCACCUCAGCAGCAUAGAAUUUACCUAUGUGUUAUCUUCUCACCCUAAAUGCACCAGGAGGGCAGGGAUUUUUGUCUGUGUUGUUCGCUGCGAUAUCCCCAGCACCUACCACGCUUGGCACAGAGUGGAUGCUUCAGAAAUAUUUGGUGAGUUAAUUAACUCAUUUUACCAAGAGGUGAGCCAGGAAAGAGGCUACCUCUAGCUGAGGUUGUCCUAGAAGCGAAGACCACUAGGUCAUGAACACAGCACUGUCCGGGACGUCAAGAGACCUGGGCUCAAGUCCACCAAAUGGCCACUAUGACCCUCUGCAGUGCCCUAAGCUCCUGAGCCAGUUUCCCAAUCUAUAAAAUGGGAGUGCACAUCUCUGUCUUGCCUCCCCCAUGGGGUGGCUGAGGACAUAACGAGACAGUAAGUGCAAAGGCCCUUCUCCAGCCAUCAGGGGACAGGGAAGGGCGUGUGCCUGGGUGCUGAGGAGGGACUGCCCAGGCGAGCCUUCAGGAGGACGUUCACGGCAGGAAGCAAUGAUGACUGGACCCAACUCACUGAGAGAUGGUAGUGGCCAGCUGCAACUCAGCGACACAAAACAGCUUAUUCUUGCAGGCCUUCUCGUAGGGCAGCUGUAAGCAGACAAAGAGGAGCAGGGUCAGCCCAGGGACCCUCCUCCCCCAGCACCCCUGCCCCGACCUUCCUCGUAGCACACCGAGGCCUGUCCUUCCUGCUCGCUCUGGGAAGAGCAGUUACAGGGAGGUGAAGGUGGACGGGCUGGGAUCGUGCCACACAGCCAAGAGGGCCGUGACUGGGCCGCUCCUGGAUCCCUACCACAAGGGCACACUGUGAAGCAGGCCUCUGGUCAAGGCCAAAAACAGGCGACCUCAGUGGAAUGGUAGGCGACCUCAGUGGAAUGGUGGGUGUGCCCGCCACAUUCACAUCAUUUGAAUUAAAAAGCAACUAUUUUGAGCGUUUGAGGAGGAAAACCUAUGAGAAGACAAGCUUCCUGAGUCUUUUCAAGCCUAGGCAGCAACCGCAGUGGCAGGA